AGAGAGAGACAUGCGCGCAUAUCAAUAAGCGGAGGAAAAGAAACUAACAAGGAUUCCCUUAGUAACGGCGAGUGAAGCGGGAAGAGCUCAAAUUUGAAAUCUUCAAGGUUUUACCUUGACGAAUUGUAGUUUAAAGAAGUGUUUUCUGCUGAAGUUUUGGUAAAAGUUCUUUGGAAUAGGACAUCAUAGAGGGUGAGAAUCCCGUAUUUGACCAUUAUUUUCAGCUUUGUGAUACACUUUCAAAGAGUCGGAUUGUUUGGGAAUGCAGUCCAAAAUGGGUGGUAAAUUUCAUCUAAAGCUAAAUAUUGGCGAGAGACCGAUAGCGAACAAGUACCGUGAGGGAAAGAUGAAAAGAACUUUGAAAAGAGAGUUAAACAGUACGUGAAAUUGUCAAAAGGGAAGCGUUUGACACCAGUGUUGUUUUCUCGAAAAUCAAUUAAAAAUGGCUCGAUUUUGUAUUGUUGAGACCUUAAAAGCUCACUGUACAUUUUUCGUGUCUUUUUUAAUGCACUUUUCGUUUAACAAGUCAACAUCAGUUUCUUUUGUUGUAAAAGGGUCAUUGGAAGGUGGCUUUCUUUUCGGAGAAAGUGUUUAUAGCCUUUGGCCUCUGCAAUCGGAAGAGACUGAGGUCUGCAGCGUAGACUCUUCGGGGUUAGAUACAUUUGUGCUAAGUUAUAGCUUUUUAUAGACAACUUGUUGACUAUAAUUAGUCUUGUAGCUUACUCGCUUAUGCUAUUUUACCUACGCUUAGGAUGUUGAGUCGUAGAGCACGCAG
Molecule: ribosomal RNA, 775 nt
Filed under: uncultured Neocallimastigales
Lineage: Eukaryota; Fungi; Neocallimastigomycota; Neocallimastigomycetes; Neocallimastigales
Description: partial large subunit ribosomal RNA
Rfam family: Eukaryotic large subunit ribosomal RNA
Source: RNAcentral